AUUAUCCUCUUUGGCCCGGCACCCUGUCCACGCACCGUCUAUCUAUUUUCAGUCUCAUUGACGCAGACUGGUGCUGGCCACAAACGGAUUUGGCGCGUCAUGGGGAUACACCUGCACUCCACUUAUAAAAGGAAGCACCGCCAGUGUCUCCAUGAUUCAUUCCACCACUUGAGGAGCAAGUAGACACUUGGUCUCCAACAUCACUUGGCUAAGCUAAAUCGGGUCUACCCAACAUCCAGCAGGACAUGGAACCAAUCGCGCCAAGCGUUACCCUCCAGGAUGCUCAGUUUGCCCGCAGGCAGCUGAGGGUCAGCCCGCGGGGAGCUUCCUCACACUUCGUGGGAAGCACUAUAGUCAUACUUUCCUCAUACGCUGUGGCCACCAUGGCCAUGAACUGCGGCAAGAAGAUGCAAGAAAUGAAGUCAAAACCAAACGAGAACUGAAGGCCAAUGCGAAGACCAAAGUGCCUUCCUACUUCCUAUUUAUUACCUGAAAGUCUCCAGAUGAUUGUCCAACAUUUCUUCUGAAAUCAGGGAUCUUCAAAGGGAGCCGGUCUUCCUUCACUGCAGAAACAGCUGCCACUCUUCUGGGAUUUGAUUCCCUUCAGCUGCAGGAAUAUUUAUGAUGUCAGAUGCUGAUGUUGGAUGAUUAUUUCUGAAUUAUCAACAAUCUCCAACUCAUAUUCCUAAAGAUGAUCAGUGGAGCUUCAGCUCUUCAUAAUGGUUUCAAAAGAUCUUCAUUUCUCUAGAUCAUCCCACAUGUGCUCAGUGAGACCUUAACUCAUCCUGGAGGUCUUUAAAGGGGUGACAUUGCUCCAACUCAUCCAAAAGGUCUCCAAUGAAACUUCAAGUCAUCACUCCUAAUCAUCCUGUAGAAAAUCAGUGGAACUUUAACUCAUCCCAGAGGUCUUUAAAGGAGCUUCAUCACAACAACUUAUCUCUAAUGUGUGACUGCUCGAGAGUGUCUGAUUCUACUGCCAAAAAAAUUAUUUCUCAAAUCCACUAUCUAGAAGGUGCAUAUUGGCGAAUGGAAAGAACAUCAGUAAAACCAGCUUAAGGUGACAGAAACGUCUGAUUAUCAUCUGGGUUGCUGUCUGGAACUGUUUCAGAGGCAGAUUGUAUGGAUUGUACAGUGUUUUCUUAUUUUUUUAUGUUGUUAUUAACAGUCUUCAGUUUUCUUUUGAAAAAUAUGUAUUCGUAUGGCAGAGAAUUUCAGUUCAGUAGUAUGAGGAAUAACUUUUUUACCUUCUGUAAAGCUUUGUUAACUUUUAUAAGUAAUAAUUUUCAAAUGUUUGUGUGGAAACUUCAAAUACGCUGUGUACUGUAUGAUUACUGUAUGAUUGUAUGAUUACUUUGUUCAUCUCAGUGUAAAAUACAGUAUAUGUUUGAAGGAGUAGAUGAGUGGUUUUACCUUUUCUGUCAGCAGCGUUAGAGUUGACCACAGCUGAUUUUGUUGUGUGCUGUAAACCAAUGCAGCAAUGUAACAAAGCUAACACGUCUUGAUUUGAAUGAACACAUAUUUUUACACUUUAAUACAGAUGCAAUAAAAUGUCUCAGAACUUG
This is a long non-coding RNA of Astyanax mexicanus (Mexican tetra), 1562 nucleotides long. RefSeq lists it as uncharacterized. The transcript is spliced from 2 exons. Lineage: Eukaryota; Metazoa; Chordata; Actinopteri; Characiformes; Acestrorhamphidae. The record is from RefSeq and is a predicted model, not a curated record.